This 59-nucleotide ribosomal RNA is filed under the name uncultured organism. Its description in RNAcentral is "partial 16S ribosomal RNA". The record is from RNAcentral.
UGGACUUGACAUCGUCUGAAUAUCUAAGAGAUUAGAGAAACCCUUCGGGGCAGAUAGAC